UUUCCGUUGGUCAAGCGGUUAAGACACCGCCCUUUCACGGCGGUAACACGGGUUCGAAUCCCGUACGGGUCACCA
This 75-nucleotide transfer RNA is filed under the name Bacilli bacterium. Its description in RNAcentral is "tRNA-Glu". The stretch from base 4 to 68 matches the Rfam family "tRNA". Rfam says of the family: Transfer RNA (tRNA) molecules are approximately 80 nucleotides in length. Their secondary structure includes four short double-helical elements and three loops (D, anti-codon, and T loops). The record is from RNAcentral. Lineage: Bacteria; Bacillati; Bacillota; Bacilli.